GAUACCCUUUAGCUCUUUCCGAGGUCG
RNAcentral lists this non-coding RNA (27 nucleotides) under Drosophila melanogaster (fruit fly). The record is from RNAcentral. Lineage: Eukaryota; Metazoa; Arthropoda; Insecta; Diptera; Drosophilidae.